Molecule: non-coding RNA, 342 nt
Organism: Salmo salar (Atlantic salmon)
Lineage: Eukaryota; Metazoa; Chordata; Actinopteri; Salmoniformes; Salmonidae
Source: RefSeq, a predicted model, not a curated record
UGACACCCGAAGCCAAAUCUAGUUGACAAACCCUGUUUUAUAGUAUGUCAUGGCCUUUUCUGGCCAACUGCUGUUAUGUUUAUGAUAUACUAUGGUGUUGUGUCACUAGACUUUGACCAGAUAUUAUUGCAUCCAAAGAUCAACUGUACCUAGAACAUAGAUACAGAGACACUUGUUAUCAGGAAGGUGCUCUCUCAGAACAACGGAAAAUAUCUCAAUAACUUGACAUGUUCUGGUUGUGAAUUCAGGCUACAAGGGGUCAGUUCUCUAAAAUGAGUCUCUCUGGGGAACAUGACACCAAAUCUAAGAGUCUAAUCAAACAGGAGAGACCAGCCUCCCGUG